AUGACUAAAGGAAAAAGCUAGCCUACUGCUGGAUACUGGCACAAGUCUUUUUGUCUUUCUCCAACCCUGAGCUUCAUUCCAGUCAUCGUCAUCUUAUUUUAGCUAUAAUUGAGAUAUAUUGUUCAUAUAUAGAUACAAUCUUGUCAAUGUAAAAAGUUCCAGAAACACUGGCCACACA
This is a long non-coding RNA of Octodon degus (degu), 178 nucleotides long. RefSeq lists it as uncharacterized. NCBI's taxonomy places the organism in Eukaryota, Metazoa, Chordata, Mammalia, Rodentia, Octodontidae. The transcript has 4 exons. The record is from RefSeq and is a predicted model, not a curated record.